GCAGGGCUCGAUCCCAUGACCCUAGAAUCACGACCUGAGCCAAAAUCAAGAGUCAGACGCUUGGCUGACUGAGCCACCCAGGUGCCCCCUUCCUGGCUUAACAUUUUCUCGAGGAUCAUUCUGGCUGCUGUUUGGACAGGGUAGAAGCAGAGUCCAGCUAGGAGACUACUGCAAGAUACAGGGAUGGCUGGGGGUAGAAACGGUGAGAAAUGGUGACUUUUUCUGGGUAUCUGUUGAAGGAAGAGCUGACAGAUUUUUCUGGUAGAUUAGACUGUAACUGGGCUGUGAGGGGAAGGGAGGAGUCAGGAUGACUCCGAGGUAUUUGGGCUGAGCAGCUGGAGGACUGAGUUGCCAUAGACUGAGACCAGAGCAGGCUGCAGGAGAGACAGGUGUGGCAGGGGAGAGUGGGGAGACGCAGGUUCGGUUCCAAGCAUGUUACGCUGGAGAUGCCUGGGAGAUACCCAAGUAGAGAUGCCAAGGAGGUGACUGGCCGUACGAGGUGAGAGUCUGUCUCAGGAGUAGAGAUACACAUGCGGUGUUGCCCAGUGAUUGGAUGGUGGGAAAGCCACAAGGCUGGUUGAGGUCACAAAGGAAGUGAGUGUGGGGAGGGAGGAGGCGGGAGAUCAGGAGCUGAGAACCGGGCACUCCGACCCUGAAAGGUCAAGUUAGUGAGAAGGAAUCCGCAAAGGCAACUGGAAAACACGAGGCUAGUGAGGUUGCUUAAAGAAGUGAUGUCUGCGCUCAGAGUGCCUGAUUCUUUGCCUCCCAGUUACACACAGUCUGGUGUCUGUCCCCACAGCUCCUUGAAAACGGCUGAAACUCUUCUGGCAAAGUAGCAUUUGGCCACUCCCACCUUCAGGAAGCUCUUUUUUUCUCUAGGCCUGCACGACACCCCAUUCUCCUGGGUUACCUCCCACUUCAAUGGCUGUUCCUUCUUAAUAUCUUGGGUAACUGCUUCUCCUCUGCUUAACAUCAGAAUGUUGAGAGAAUCCAAACUUCACCCUCGACCUGGAUCUCCCCCUGGGCCAUCUCCCCCAUUGUGUUAAAUUCCAUCUACGGGCUGCUGGCUUCCAGAUUUUUAUCUGAAUCUGACCUCUCCCUUGGGCUUCAGAUGCAUAUAUCCCAUUGCCUAAUCACUCACAGGGAUGUUUAAUAAAUAUCUCAAACUUAAUGUGGUCAAAACAGGACUCUUGAUCUCUGGCUUCAGAUCUGUUCUCCCCAAGUACUCUUUAUCUCAAUAUGUGGCACACUCAGUAAUCACCGCAUUGCUUGCCCCAAAAGCCUAGGACUAGGGUGACCACUUGUCCUGGUUUGCCCGGGGCCGGUCCUCGUUUUAGCCCUGAAAACCUUGUUCCAGGAAACUCCUCAAUCUCAAGCGAGCCGGGAUGUUUGGUCAUCUCACUUGGGAAUCACCCAAGAUCUCCUUCUUUUCUUCGCAUUCUACAUCCAAUCAACUGGAUGUCCAUCCAGAUAUACCCUCUUUCCACCUCCACCGCCACCUCGUCCAAGCCUCCAUCAUGUCCCACACAGACCGUCCCAAUAGCCUCUCCAUCUGGUGUCCCUCCUCCCUUGCUUGGCCCGCUGCGUUUUUCACACAAGAGCCAGAGGAUCUUUACACAGAGAAAAACACACCACUAAGGGCUUGAAUACCUACUAGUUCAAGCACUCCAACUACACUUCGAACAAAUCCAAAUUUCCUUCCUGCAGGCUCUGCAUGAUCUGGCCCUCGCCUCUCAUCCACUGACAUUUCCUAGUUCACUCCCUUCUUCCCAUCCCUCCCUUCCCCCCAUCACCUUAUGACUCACUCCUUCCUACCAUUCAGGUAUGAGGCCAAAGUUACCCUCAUGACUGUAUCCAGAGUCAUUCCCCAAGUUUCUCCCUAUCGGAUCUCUCUCUCUUCCAUUAUCUUCAAGGCAUAGCUCACCACCUGACGUUACCCUGUUCAUUCUUUUGUUUGUGUAUCAACUCCCCCAUCUAAGAUGUAAGCUUCAGAGCAGAGCCCUUGCCAGCGUUGUUCACAUCCCUGUUCUCAGCACUUGGCUCGGCACACAGCAAGUGCUCAGUAAAUCCUUGCUAAACAUAUGAAUAUUCAGCUGAGUACAGGGUCUCUCACUGUGGUCAUAAAAGAUAAGA
Molecule: long non-coding RNA, 2133 nt
Organism: Felis catus (domestic cat)
Lineage: Eukaryota; Metazoa; Chordata; Mammalia; Carnivora; Felidae
Exons: 3
Source: RefSeq, a predicted model, not a curated record